UUUCUUUUAAUGGCAAUUAUUAAUUAUUUGAACUAUACAUUUAACUAAACAUCAGAACAUUUAUUUACAAUACAUAAUAAUUAUUCAGGACAACUACCCACAAAGUGUGCCGUUUUUGUCACUGCAGUGAAUUUUCCUGGCCUUCUGGAAGAACAUUUCCAUGGCCUUUUGAUAAGGGAAGUCAGAAACUUCUGGCCCAUUUAUCGAGAGCUACAUGCAGGCUGUAAGACGGUCUCCUUGUAGCCUAUUGCGGAUGUUUGUCUUGACCUGCAAAUACAUUAACUGUUAUGCUUUAAAAGUGAUAUCUGAUAUCUUAAAAAUAGUGAUAACUUAAAGCAGCAAAUCCCAUUGUGAAAAGUAUUUAUUACCCUGUUCAUGGUUGAGAAGUCCCUUGCACAGUUAACACUGCUGACUGGGACUGUCAGGGCAAUGGAAGCCAGUAGGCUUAUAUGUGGGUACAAGACACCAUGCUCCUGAUAUUAUGAGGAGAAUUCGGACAAUAUGGCUAGCUCUGUCUUGUUCUGAAAAUGUUCAAAAUGAAAAUCAGUACAGAGUGUAGUGUUCAUGAAAAUGUCAUGUGAAAAUAACAUUUUAAGUUACCUUGAGUGGGCCAGAGACCACUUGCUCCUUGAAAGAGGCCCAUUCUUCAAGGACUGUGCCAAAAUCGACACUGGAACAAAACUUAUUCACCAGUAUCCUCAGUUUUGUGUGUGCAGUGUCGUCAGGAAGUGUAGCUGCCUGUGGGCAGAAUAUCCCAAAUGCAGCCACGACUCCAACCUCACAGAAGCGUCUCCCGAGAUUGACAAUGAGGCCAUCCAAAUAUGGAUACACUACCUGAUCAAGCACAGGGAAAAUAGAUGCAGAAUGCCCCCAGUCCUGCAGGGUCAUCCAAAUUCUGGGACAGCUUACUCAGGUGUGAGCCAGGUUGAUGACCACCAGAAUCGUUUAUGCCCUUUAUUAAGGAAAAAUAAAUAAGCACAUUGACUCAUGUGAAAAUAUUUUUUGUGGUACCUAUGUUUGUGCAAAAAUAAACAAGAUAAAACAUA
Molecule: long non-coding RNA, 1046 nt
Organism: Centropristis striata (black sea bass)
Lineage: Eukaryota; Metazoa; Chordata; Actinopteri; Perciformes; Serranidae
Exons: 2
Source: RefSeq, a predicted model, not a curated record